Dreissena polymorpha is the source of this 738-nucleotide long non-coding RNA. RefSeq lists it as uncharacterized. The record is from RefSeq and is a predicted model, not a curated record. The transcript has 5 exons. NCBI's taxonomy places the organism in Eukaryota, Metazoa, Mollusca, Bivalvia, Myida, Dreissenidae.
CAGAGUCAACGGAAGUAAAUCAGCAAUUAUUUUAAGGCGGUGUCGAAAUGGGUCUAUAGCUCUGCCUGAACUGUCGUCCAAUUGGUUUACAAGUCCGGCUGAAGUGACAGGCCAUCAAAAACUGUACAGUGUGACUGAUUCGGAGACGGCCCUCAACACUCGCCCAGUCGUGUCGAGAGGAUCGGUGUCUUUGCAGAUUACACGGAAUUGAGCACCCGGGCCAGACUGACACUUUCCGGAGCCUGCCCUAGACGGAACUCGAGCCGAGGAAUCAUAGGUCCAGGCGGUGUCGAAAUGGGUCUAUAGCUCUGCCUGAACUGUCGUCCAAUUGGUUUACAAGUCCGGCUGAAGUGACAGGCCAUCAAAAACUGUACAGUGUGACUGAUUCGGAGACGGCCCUCAACACUCGCCCAGUCGUGUCGAGAGGAUCGGUGUCUUUGCAGAUUACACGGAAUUGAGCACCCGGGCCAGACUGACACUUUCCGGAGCCUGCCCUAGACGGAACUCGAGCCGAGGAAUCAUAGGUCCAGGUGUGACAAAAGACUUAAAGCUCAUGUCUGACGAUGACUUUUUUUAGUCAGGAAGCCAAGUGUGUUGUUUUUCCAUGCAAGCGAGCCCUUUUGUUGGGUCAAAUGACAUCAGCAUUGCUGCUUCUACAUGGAUUUUACCUAAAAUGUGCAAAAAAAAUAUAAAAAGUUUGUUCGAAUCCAGUUCAAAACCUGCUUUGAUGCACAAAUA